AUGCCCCUAAGGGCAGGCAAACCGGCCGCUUGCACGGGUCUGUGGCGCACCUUAUACACUGUUGAGCAAAGGACGAUGGAACGCUCUUCAUCUCCUGCCAUGGCACGUUCCUUGGCAAUCCUCGUUAUCAUAUUCAUAUGCUGCUCCCUGCCAUGCUCAACAGCCACACAAGUUCAUCUGGAUGGAAGCCGUCCGAGUGUUGGUCCUCCGUCGCCGCAGGGUGCGAACCCGCAUGGCUGCGUUGGUAGAUGCCAUAACGGGCGCCCAGACACCACAUCUCCGGCAACCGCAGCCCUUACACCGCACCGCAAGACCCUGCAGCAGGCUAUUCUAAAUUGA
This 339-nucleotide ribosomal RNA is filed under the name Triticum aestivum (bread wheat). Its description in RNAcentral is "partial small subunit ribosomal RNA". The record is from RNAcentral. Lineage: Eukaryota; Viridiplantae; Streptophyta; Magnoliopsida; Poales; Poaceae.